UACGGGGGGGGCAAGCGUUGUUCGGAAUUACUGGGCGUAAAGGGCUCGUAGGCGGCCAACUAAGUCAGACGUGAAAUCCCUCGGCUUAACCGGGGAACUGCGUCUGAUACUGGAUGGCUUGAGUUUGGGAGAGGGAUGCGGAAUUCCAGGUGUAGCAGUGAAAUGCGUAGAUAUCGUGAGGAACACCAGAGGCGAAGGCGGCUACCUGGACAAUUGCUGACGCUCAGGCACGAAAGCGUGGGGAGCAAAAGGG
RNAcentral lists this ribosomal RNA (253 nucleotides) under uncultured bacterium. Its description in RNAcentral is "partial 16S ribosomal RNA". It matches the Rfam family "Bacterial small subunit ribosomal RNA", at positions 524 to 776 of the family's 1533-position model. The record is from RNAcentral.